GACGAACGCUGGCGGCGUGCUUAACACAUGCAAGUCGAACGAUGAAGCUAGAGCUUGCUCUGGUGGAUUAGUGGCGAACGGGUGAGUAACACGUGAGCAAUCUGCCCUUGACUCUGGGAUAACUGCGGGAAACUGUAGCUAAUACCGGAUACCUUCACUGGAAGGCAUCUGCUGGUGAAGAAAGAAUUUCGGUCAAGGAUGAGCUCGCGGCCUAUCAGCUUGUCGGUGAGGUAACGGCUCACCAAGGCGACGACGGGUAGCCGGCCUGAGAGGGUGACCGGCCACACUGGGACUGAGACACGGCCCAGACUCCUACGGGAGGCAGCAGUGGGGAAUAUUGCACAAUGGGCGCAAGCCUGAUGCAGCAACGCCGCGUGAGGGAUGAAGGCCUUCGGGUUGUAAACCUCUUUUAGCAGGGAAGAAGCGAAAGUGACGGUACCUGCAGAAAAAGCACCGGCUAACUACGUGCCAGCCGCCGCGGUAA
RNAcentral lists this ribosomal RNA (484 nucleotides) under uncultured bacterium. RNAcentral describes it as "partial 16S ribosomal RNA". It matches the Rfam family "Bacterial small subunit ribosomal RNA", at positions 28 to 523 of the family's 1533-position model. The record is from RNAcentral.